CCUACGGGGGGCAGCAGUGGGGAAUAUUGGACAAUGGGGGGAACCCUGAUCCAGCCAUGCCGCGUGUGUGAAGAAGGCCCUCGGGUUGUAAAGCACUUUCAGUGAGGAAGAACGCCUGGUGGUUAAUACCCAUCAGGAAAGACAUCACUCACAGAAGAAGCACCGGCUAACUCCGUGCCAGCAGCCGCGGUAAUACGGAGGGUGCGAGCGUUAAUCGGAAUUACUGGGCGUAAAGCGCGCGUAGGUGGCUUGAUAAGCCGGUUGUGAAAGCCCCGGGCUCAACCUGGGAACGGCAUCCGGAACUGUCAAGCUAGAGUGCAGGAGAGGAAGGUAGAAUUCCCGGUGUAGCGGUGAAAUGCGUAGAGAUCGGGAGGAAUACCAGUGGCGAAGGCGGCCUUCUGGACUGACACUGACACUGAGGUGCGAAAGCGUGGGUAGCAAACAGGAUUAGAUACCUGUGUAGUC
This 465-nucleotide ribosomal RNA is filed under the name Vreelandella stevensii. RNAcentral's name for it is "partial 16S ribosomal RNA". It matches the Rfam family "Bacterial small subunit ribosomal RNA", at positions 338 to 795 of the family's 1533-position model. The record is from RNAcentral. Lineage: Bacteria; Pseudomonadati; Pseudomonadota; Gammaproteobacteria; Oceanospirillales; Halomonadaceae.